AUGUCAUUACAAACUGAAGUUCAGUUGGUAUCUAAAACCCAGCUAUGUCCUUCAGGGCCAAAUACAGUUCUGUGGCCGAUUCCCAGUCUUGUGGCUGCUGCAGUGUGUUUUGUUGUACAGCCUGUUGUAAAUAUUCCCCAAUGUUUGGAUCACCACCAGCUAACAGAGUGGAUAAAGAGUAACAAGAGGUGCUGGCGCUGCGCACGGUCACACCAGGCAGCCCAGUGUAAUCUGAGGAAGACGUGCAGCCUCUGCCAAGGGAAGCACCUGCAGGUACUGCAUGAUGUCAACGUUAGAACACUGAAAGGGUCACCAACAACAGCGAUGGUGAGCGGUGACUCGAAGGUGGCGACCGACGUCCUGUAUCUAGACAGACCCACUGAAGGCUGCAGAGUCCUUCUAAAGAUCGUCAAAGUCUGCAUUCAUUAUGGCAAGCGAACAAUCAGCACUUAUGCCGUCUUGGAUGACGGGUCAGAGAGGACAAUGCUUCUGCCAGAGGCUGCCGAGAAGUUAGGCAUGCAAGGGGUCACAGAGGAUGUCCCACUGCGCACGAUUAGGCAGGACGUGCAGACUCUCAGAGGUGAGUCAGUAUCGUUCUCUGUUUCCUCUCCCUCAAGGCCCAGGACCAGGUUCAAGAUUGCUGGGGCCUUCACUGCUGCACGCAUCGGACUUGCAGGCCACACUUAUCCCAUGGAGCAACUCAGAGAAAGGUAUAAACACCUGAUUGGCCUUCCGAUCCACACCUUGAUAAAUGUGAAACCCUUGCUACUCAUUGGCAGUGACCAUCCCCAUCUGGUUACCCCCGUUGAACCAGUCGGGCUGGGACCUCCAGGAGGGCCUGCUGCUAUUCGCACCAGGCUAGGUUGGGCGCUACAAGGGCCAGCAAGUAUAGUCGGCCAGCUUGCCCAACCACAGCAGUGCUUGCUGACAACUGUGGCACCUCAGGUCAGUGAGUUAAUGAAACAUGUAGAGAAACUAUGGCAGGUCGACAUCGUUCCGUUCCGAAACGAGAAGGUUGUUACUCGUUCAAGGCAAGACCAAGAGGCCAUACGCAUUCUGGAGACCAGAACUGUCCGAGUAGAGGUUGAGGGCAUACUUCGCUAUGCCACCCCACUGCUUCGCCGGAAGGGGAUGCCUCUACUGCAGGCCACUAAAGACGCCGUCAUGCCAAGUCUACGGGGUGUGGAGAGAAGGCUGGCUAAAGACCCAGAACGAGCUGAAGCCUACAAGGUGGAGAUGGAGAAGCUUAUCAAGGCUGGCUCCAUCGUUAAGUGUGGCUCUGAGACACCUGCGACAGAAGGUCAGGAGGCGUGGUACAUCCCCCAUCACAUGGUGAGCCAUAAUGGCAAGAACCGCUUGGUUUUCAACUGCUCAUUUCAGUACAGAGGACAGAACUUGAACGACUACCUGCUGCCCCUGCCCACCUUAGGUGCGUCGCUUCUGGGAGUUCUAUUACGCUUCAGAGAGCAUGCAGUUGUAGUGAGUGGGGACAUUAAAGGCAUGUUCCACCAGGUUCGUCUCUUACCAGAAGAUUGUGCCCUGCUCAGAUUUGUCUGGCGUGACAUCAGUGACGAGAGCCCUCCAGCAGUCUAUGAGUGGCGGGUGCUCCCGUUCGGAACCACGUGUAGCCCCUGCUGUGCCACAUUCGCCCUGCAGCGUCACGUCAUGGACAACAGCCAGCUAGGUGAUGGCGUGAGACUCUCAGUCGAAAGGUGUUUUUAUGUGGACAACUGCCUUCAGAGUUUCCCUACCGUGGGAGAGGCGAGGAACCUUGUCGACAAGUUACGGGCCAUCCUAGCCCCAGCAGGGUUUGACCUACGACAGUGGGCCAGCAAUGAACGUGACGUCAUCAGUCAUUUACCAGAAGAGAGCUGCUCUGCUAGUGUGGAGCUAUGGCUGGCCCAGAACAAGGUAGAUACCCCAGAAUCUACCCUGGGAUUGAGCUGGCUAUUCCACACAGAUGUCCUAGGCUACAAGCAUCGUCAAGUUCCAUAUGCAGUUCCCACGAUGCGCAAUAUCUACAAGGUCCUGGCCAGCCAGUACGACCCCCUAGGGUUCAUCUUACCCUACACAACCAGAGCGAAGGUAAUCAUCCGCCAUCUUUGGGACAAGCAAAGGGGUUGGGAUGACCCACAUCUACCUCAGGAGCUCAUGCAGCAGUGGACAGCCUGGGAGGAAGAGUUGCAGUUUCUGCCUGAAGUUACUCUUCCUCGACCAUAUGUGCCUAAGCAAGUGGACACCUUCAGCUGUCAGAGAGAGGUACACAUAUUUUGUGAUGCCUCUGAGGAAGCUUAUGGCUCAGUAGCUUACCUCCGGACCGCUGGCAGAAAUGGAGAAGUGCAUCUGUCGUUCUUGGUGGCCCGGUCCAGGGUUGCCCCCAAGCGGUUUCACUCUAUGCCCAGAUUGGAGCUCUGUGCUGCACUCACUGGGGCCCAGCUCUCACAAGUGCUGGAAAGGGAGCUCACCCUUAGAAUCGACCAGACGGUCCUAUGGUCUGAUUCUACAACAGUGCUGACAUGGCUGGGGUCUGAAUCCUGCCGAUUCAAGGUCUUCGUUGGCACUCGUGUAGCCAAGAUACAAGAGCUGACAGACAGGCACUCCUGGAGAUACGUCGACUCUGGAAGGAAUCCAGCCGAUGACGUGACACGUGGGAAGAAGCUGAAGGAGCUCGCUGUACCAAAUAGAUGA
Molecule: long non-coding RNA, 2688 nt
Organism: Oreochromis niloticus (Nile tilapia)
Lineage: Eukaryota; Metazoa; Chordata; Actinopteri; Cichliformes; Cichlidae
Source: Ensembl